Aegilops tauschii subsp. strangulata is the source of this 2325-nucleotide long non-coding RNA. RefSeq lists it as uncharacterized. Lineage: Eukaryota; Viridiplantae; Streptophyta; Magnoliopsida; Poales; Poaceae. The record is from RefSeq and is a predicted model, not a curated record.
AGGAAGGAGGCCAGCGGCCAGGACGACGCCAUGGUCUAACCCUGCUUUGCUCCUUCCCCACCAUGACCACACCAUGGAAGCAGCAGCAGGGUUCCUUGGUGGGUACAUCAGCAGCAGAAAGAGGACACCAUGGUGGGUACGGCAGCAACGGCUCGAUGGACGCAUGGACGCCACCAUGGAAGCAUGAAUGUGCUUAUUUCUCCAUCCCUUUGCACUGGCAUGGGGUGGUAGCAUUGUUUACUGGAUGAUUACCAAUGGAGUCAUUUCGGCUAAGAAAAUCUGCGGGGCUGGAGGCGGCAUUCGGGGUUGGAGAUGGCAUGAGAAGCAGAGCUCCUUGUGCCACUCUCUCUACAAAGAAAGUGUAGUCUGCAAGCUUAUCAAAUCUGGGUACUGUUUGUAGAAGUGCAGCACCAUGCAUCAAUCUCAUUUUUGUGUGUGCAAAUUAUCUGUGCCUACAUGGUGCUAUGAAAAUUCAAGCGGGCUGAAGUAAAGAUUACUCUAUGUCGCCGCUGGAGCGGGACAAGAUCAUGGCUUGCCUUACAUGGUGACGUACCGACUAGGAAGAGUGCAAGCUGCCGCCCACAUGUACCAGAUGGUGCCGUCAAGGACAUUGUCGUACUGACUGCCGAUGAUCUACAGAAAGUUGUUGCUUCCCCUGGCCGUGGGAUCCUUGCGAUCGACGAGUUGAGUGCAACAUGUGGAAAGAGAUUGGCAUCCAUUGGUUUGGACAACAUGGAAGUUAACCGCCAGGCUUACAGUCCACUACAGAUGGCAAGACCUUUGUUGGCAUCUUGAAGGACCAGAAUAUCAUGCCCCGUAUCAAGGUUGACAAGGUGAUGAUGACAUGGCUAUCCAUGUUCUGCAACAUGCGAGAAGUGAAGAUGAACCAUCCAAAGGGAUUUAUGGUGGAUGACCACCAGGUACGAGAGAGCGCAAGACGCAACCACCACCAACUACCAGAGGGCGCCAUCAAGGAUGUCAUCGUACUGAUUGCCAAUUACCUACAGGUUAGGAGUAUCUGAUGUGGUGGUCUUGAUGUUGCGCCAUCAAGGAUGUCGUCGUACUGAUUGCCGAUUACCUACAGGUCCAUCUCUCCCCCUCUCUCAGAUUUCAAGCUCAAUUCUCUCUUAUUUUGCUGAAUGGAAGUGGCCUGAAAGCCACUCGACUGAAAUCAUGUGUGUUGCGAUAUGCCAAUUGCUUUUGAUCUUGGGUAAAGAAUAUCAUGCUGUUAUGUUUGGAAGGCAUUGAUUGCUUUGUUUUACAUUUAGCGUUUGGCACGAUUCAUGUUGAUGAUGUUUAGUAGAAGACUGCGGUAGAGGUUGUGUUUUGAUGCUUUGGAUGGAUCCAGCUACCGAUUUACCAAUGCUACUGUUUGUGGUCUCAUACCUCUCUAUCAUGAUUCUCCCAAUCUGAAAUAGAGAAACAUUACUUUGUUUGACAUGGUUUGUCUACACUUAUCUUUAAGGCUACAACCUGGAGUCUCAUGGAGGUGUGAAGAUGAUACCUAAGUAGUCUAGGACAUUGCUUUGUUAGGGGUUCGCCUAUGUACAAGAAUGACAUGUUUCUUUCCCAUGUAAUAUAUUGUGAUUUUUUUUUGCUCAACAUCAUCUGGACUAUGUAUCUUUCUAUGGUAGUAAACUUUAUCCUGCUUUUUGGUUUGGAUCUGAGCACUAUUUGGAUAAGCUGCAAACUUUGUUUUAGAUUAGUACUUGCUCUCUCAUGUUUGCGCUUAGUACUGAACUUAGUGUCAAGUGGUUACCUUACGUGGUCUCAUGAUCGCACUGAACUACUCUAUGCUACCUUAAAAUCUCAUGACGAUGUUGAACUUAGAUGAUGUCUUGCUUCUAUGACAAGUAAAUGUUUCAUCUUUCUUUUAUUUUGUUUAAUACAUAUGCUAAACGAGGAUUCAUACUAACACGAACAUUACUUCUUGAUCACAUCGUUGUGAACGGCACCCCCGCGCCAAGGCGCGAUCCUGAUCUAGUUGUGGGUGGAGACUGGAGAGAGAUAGAAAGAUAGAAAGAGGGCUAGAACUGGAAGGGAAGACGUGGAGGAAUGGAAAGUGGUGCAUAAGAUUGAUCUCCACCAUCCAUUGUACGCUAUGUCAGAUCACAGGAGUCCAUCGAUCAUUGAACAGGUGGAUGUCCGGACGGGGCAAGCUUUGAAGAGGACAAGUCAUCUCUGUGCAUGUGUGGGUGGAAUGGAAUUGCCGGAUUUCUUGUCGUCGCGAGUGUUUUCCCUCGAUUGGUUGUUGCAGUCAUGAAACACAACAGACGGGAUGGUUUGAAUCUUACAAAAAUCAAGUAUAUAUACUUUCUUUUCAUC